GGGGCUAUAGCUCAGCUGGGANNGAGGUCAGCGGUUCGAUCCCGCUUAGCUCCACCA
Molecule: transfer RNA, 57 nt
Filed under: Agrobacterium sp.
Lineage: Bacteria; Pseudomonadati; Pseudomonadota; Alphaproteobacteria; Hyphomicrobiales; Rhizobiaceae
Description: tRNA-Ser
Source: RNAcentral